GUUUAGGGGUGGGGAAUGUGUGUCCAAGGGGGAGGGUCCGUAGCUACCAAGGCGGCCGAGUGCUGCCUGCGCAUGUCAAGGCUAGCAACACAUUCAGCCACGGGGUGGCCCUGGAGAGGGACGGUUUUGACCACCUAAUCGUCCAGCAUCGGGGCUUCGCAAGAUCCAGGAACGCGCCCCACGGAAAGGGGUCCCUCGGUCUACCCAUCCUCCACCUCUGAGAUCACCCACCCCACCGGAGGUCCCACCUCUUUCCACCCCUGAAGGACCUCCUGUGAGCCCGGGACCCUGUGUACAGGACUGAAGUGGAACAAAUUCUGUAGCCCAGACGACGGCUGGAGUGGGGACACGCCCAACUGAAGAAGCCUGCCCCGCCGUAGAAGCCCGAGAUCCUGAGUCUCGGUGGAUUGAAGUCGUUGUCCCUGGGGGAGGCAAGAGCUUCAGAAAUCGCUUACGGUGGAAAAGAUGCCUGCCUUCAACAGAUUGCUUCCCCUAGCUUCUCUAGUGCUCAUCUACUGGGGCUGAAAUGUUUGAAGACAAGCCUGUUCUGUGUCCAAGUUCAGCAUCCCAUGCUCCCCGCAUUGCUCCAGGUCUUGUGGUCUGGUCCUCUCAGCCACCUUGGUCAGAGUCUGCUUCCCUGUGUGUGUGGAAGUACCCUCG
Molecule: long non-coding RNA, 660 nt
Filed under: Rattus norvegicus (Norway rat)
Lineage: Eukaryota; Metazoa; Chordata; Mammalia; Rodentia; Muridae
Description: long non-coding RNA NONRATT028623
Source: RNAcentral